The sequence is a non-coding RNA, 380 nucleotides long. It matches the Rfam family "transfer-messenger RNA". From Rfam's summary of the family: Bacterial tmRNA, also known as 10Sa RNA or SsrA, is named for its dual tRNA and mRNA-like properties. Its role is to liberate the mRNA from a stalled ribosome. The record is from Rfam.
GGGGGCGACUGGUUUCGACAUGGUAAGUCCGAAACGAGGAGCAGGUCGUGGUCUCCUCGCCACGUUAAACAGGGGUAACGUCAAGUUAAUUGGCAAAAACACUUCUAAGACCGGCUACUACAUGCCGGCCGCCAUGGCUGCCUAACCGCAGUUUUUGGUGAUCGCCGACCCCGGUGUUUCCCCGAACCGGGCAAGGCGUCAUUUGAGGGGAAUGCCCCGCGGCACGUAGUCGGUAUGGCCGCGGGAAAGAUUGAACCGACUAGGAGCGGCCACGUUGGUUGGCGAACCGAUCCGCUCCGAAGCCCGAUCGCCAACUAAGCUUGUAGAGCCUCGUGGACGAUUUAGUAUGGACCGGAGUUCGAUUCUCCGCGCCUCCACCA